This 20-nucleotide unclassified non-coding RNA is filed under the name synthetic construct. The record is from RNAcentral.
GGAAACGUAUCCUCUGGGAG